GCAAGUCGAACGGUAGAGGGGGCAACCCCUCGAGAGUGGCGAACGGGUGAGUAAUAUAUCGGAACGUGCCCAGUCGUGGGGGAUAACGUAGUGAAAAUUACGCUAAUACCGCAUACGAUCUAAGGAUGAAAGCGGGGGACUCGCAAGGGCCUCGCGCGAUUGGAGCGGCCGAUAUCAGAUUAGGUAGUUGGUGAGGUAAAGGCUCACCAAGCCAACGAUCUGUAGCUGGUCUAAGAGGACGACCAGCCACACUGGAACUGAGACACGGUCCAGACUCCUACGGGAGGCAGCAGUGGGGAAUUUUGGACAAUGGACGCAAGUCUGAUCCAGCCAUUCCGCGUGCAGGACGAAGGCCUUCGGGUUGUAAACUGCUUUUGUACAGAACGAAAAGGUCUCUAUUAAUACUAGGGGCUCAUGACGGUACUGUAAGAAUAAGCACCGGCUAACUACGUGCCAGCAGCCGCGGUAAUACGUAGGGUGCAAGCGUUAAUCGGAAUUACUGGGCGUAAAGCGUGCGCAGGCGGUUAUAUAAGACAGAUGUGAAAUCCCCGGGCUCAACCUGGGAACUGCAUUUGUGACUGUAUAGCUGGAGUGCGGCAGAGGGGGAUGGAAUUCCGCGUGUAGCAGUGAAAUGCGUAGAUAUGCGGAGGAACACCGAUGGCGAAGGCAAUCCCCUGGGCCUGCACUGACGCUCAUGCACGAAAGCGUGGGGAGCAAACAGGAUUAGAUACCCUGGUAGUCCACGCCCUAAACGAUGUCAACUGGUUGUUGGGUCUUCACUGACUCAGUAACGAAGCUAACGCGUGAAGUUGACCGCCUGGGGAGUACGGCCGCAAGGU
This 839-nucleotide ribosomal RNA is filed under the name uncultured Burkholderiales bacterium. RNAcentral describes it as "bacterial SSU rRNA". It matches the Rfam family "Bacterial small subunit ribosomal RNA", at positions 57 to 894 of the family's 1533-position model. Lineage: Bacteria; Pseudomonadati; Pseudomonadota; Betaproteobacteria; Burkholderiales. The record is from RNAcentral.